This 1814-nucleotide ribosomal RNA is filed under the name Escherichia coli. RNAcentral describes it as "bacterial LSU rRNA". It matches the Rfam family "Bacterial large subunit ribosomal RNA", at positions 1085 to 2878 of the family's 2925-position model. The record is from RNAcentral. Lineage: Bacteria; Pseudomonadati; Pseudomonadota; Gammaproteobacteria; Enterobacterales; Enterobacteriaceae.
CCAGACAGCCAGGAUGUUGGCUUAGAAGCAGCCAUCAUUUAAAGAAAGCGUAAUAGCUCACUGGUCGAGUCGGCCUGCGCGGAAGAUGUAACGGGGCUAAACCAUGCACCGAAGCUGCGGCAGCGACGCUGAUGCGUUGUUGGGUAGGGGAGCGUUCUGUAAGCCUGCGAAGGUGUGCUGUGAGGCAUGCUGGAGGUAUCAGAAGUGCGAAUGCUGACAUAAGUAACGAUAAAGCGGGUGAAAAGCCCGCUCGCCGGAAGACCAAGGGUUCCUGUCCAACGUUAAUCGGGGCAGGGUGAGUCGACCCCUAAGGCGAGGCCGAAAGGCGUAGUCGAUGGGAAACAGGUUAAUAUUCCUGUACUUGGUGUUACUGCGAAGGGGGGACGGAGAAGGCUAUGUUGGCCGGGCGACGGUUGUCCCGGUUUAAGCGUGUAGGCUGGUUUUCCAGGCAAAUCCGGAAAAUCAAGGCUGAGGCGUGAUGACGAGGCACUACGGUGCUGAAGCAACAAAUGCCCUGCUUCCAGGAAAAGCCUCUAAGCAUCAGGUAACAUCAAAUCGUACCCCAAACCGACACAGGUGGUCAGGUAGAGAAUACCAAGGCGCUUGAGAGAACUCGGGUGAAGGAACUAGGCAAAAUGGUGCCGUAACUUCGGGAGAAGGCACGCUGAUAUGUAGGUGAAGCGACUUGCUCGUGGAGCUGAAAUCAGUCGAAGAUACCAGCUGGCUGCAACUGUUUAUUAAAAACACAGCACUGUGCAAACACGAAAGUGGACGUAUACGGUGUGACGCCUGCCCGGUGCCGGAAGGUUAAUUGAUGGGGUUAGCGCAAGCGAAGCUCUUGAUCGAAGCCCCGGUAAACGGCGGCCGUAACUAUAACGGUCCUAAGGUAGCGAAAUUCCUUGUCGGGUAAGUUCCGACCUGCACGAAUGGCGUAAUGAUGGCCAGGCUGUCUCCACCCGAGACUCAGUGAAAUUGAACUCGCUGUGAAGAUGCAGUGUACCCGCGGCAAGACGGAAAGACCCCGUGAACCUUUACUAUAGCUUGACACUGAACAUUGAGCCUUGAUGUGUAGGAUAGGUGGGAGGCUUUGAAGUGUGGACGCCAGUCUGCAUGGAGCCGACCUUGAAAUACCACCCUUUAAUGUUUGAUGUUCUAACGUUGACCCGUAAUCCGGGUUGCGGACAGUGUCUGGUGGGUAGUUUGACUGGGGCGGUCUCCUCCUAAAGAGUAACGGAGGAGCACGAAGGUUGGCUAAUCCUGGUCGGACAUCAGGAGGUUAGUGCAAUGGCAUAAGCCAGCUUGACUGCGAGCGUGACGGCGCGAGCAGGUGCGAAAGCAGGUCAUAGUGAUCCGGUGGUUCUGAAUGGAAGGGCCAUCGCUCAACGGAUAAAAGGUACUCCGGGGAUAACAGGCUGAUACCGCCCAAGAGUUCAUAUCGACGGCGGUGUUUGGCACCUCGAUGUCGGCUCAUCACAUCCUGGGGCUGAAGUAGGUCCCAAGGGUAUGGCUGUUCGCCAUUUAAAGUGGUACGCGAGCUGGGUUUAGAACGUCGUGAGACAGUUCGGUCCCUAUCUGCCGUGGGCGCUGGAGAACUGAGGGGGGCUGCUCCUAGUACGAGAGGACCGGAGUGGACGCAUCACUGGUGUUCGGGUUGUCAUGCCAAUGGCACUGCCCGGUAGCUAAAUGCGGAAGAGAUAAGUGCUGAAAGCAUCUAAGCACGAAACUUGCCCCGAGAUGAGUUCUCCCUGACUCCUUGAGAGUCCUGAAGGAACGUUGAAGACGACGACGUUGAUAGGCCGGGUGUGUAAGCGCAG